Molecule: long non-coding RNA, 1354 nt
Filed under: Mus musculus (house mouse)
Lineage: Eukaryota; Metazoa; Chordata; Mammalia; Rodentia; Muridae
Description: predicted gene, 49797
Source: RNAcentral
AACUGGCGUCUUCAGGUGACGUAGACAAGGAGGAGAGCGGCACAGUUGCUGGUGUAGAGAGUGAAGCGGUGGUAGAAAGCACAGAGACUGAGGGGACAUAACAUCACUCAGUAGUUGUUCCUGUGCUCAUUCAGUGAGCUUCCCUCGCUGGUCCAAUAUUCUCUUCUGGAGUAAUCACCUGCAGCUACCCUUCUUAGCAAGAUGAUGAAUGAAGUCCUGGCAGCUUCCAGUGUCCCAGGCCUUGUAGAAAUAAGUGAGACAGACGUGCUUCAAAGUUCUAAUGAGCGUCACACCGGAAGCAUUAAAAGGAGCCCCGCCGUUGCCUGUUGAGAAGGCUCUGUGCUCUCAGGCGCGGUUUCUGAUUGAAUGCAGAGGUCACACGCAUGCCUCCCUGUAUUACCUGUCGGAGCAGGUUUAAUUUUAUAAAUUCUAGACACAAACUCUAUGAGUUUCUAGUUCAUAGUUGUUCUUUUUGAGGAUCCACUCAGACGAACAGUAUUACAUCCAUAAGAGAUACGCGCUCCCACUGCCCACAACUAGUUGAGGAAUCACUGGCGACAUAUUCCAUCAGUAGCAUCGUCCAGUGCAUGAUGGGACAGACAGAGGGCGAGGAAAUCCUCCCCCGGAGACUCGUACAGAUGACCAGACCCAUAGUGUUACUACACCAGCGAUUUUUUUUCUUUUUUCCCUCGAACACAGUAGCUUACUACUGAAAAGCCAUGUACAAAAAAAAAAAAAAAAAAAAAAAAAAAAAAAAAAGCCUGGCUGUGGCUUCAGCCCAUUGUUAUUCCUUCCUUCCUUGUACACUCAAAAACUGAAAGUUGUUCAGAGUCUCAUUUUUAAAAAAAAAAAAAAAUCCUUUGUAAUGCAUCUUUGAGAAAAAUCCAGGGUUCAGCGCACCACCAUGAACCCUUUGCUCCAGCCUUGUCCUGUCAUUGCAAACAGCAGGCAUGCUGGCCGAGAGGAGAAGCCCUGUGGGAGAGGAGGGGAGACUGAUAAUCAGGCCUACUGCAUGGUAGUUUACCUCACUUCAUGAAUCGUUUCCCAGGAGCUUCUAACCGAAGCAGAGAUGGUGACAGUCAGCUACAGGACACCAGACCUGAUUUCUGUCUUUGACAUCUACCAGUUUUCACAUGAUACCUGGGGGAGGGGGACUCCAAAAAUUCUAAUGUGAGCACCAUUUAUUAUACCCUAGAAGAAUAUUUUUAAUCAUUCUUUUGCUUGUUUUGUAAAAAAAAAAAAGUAUUAAAGUGCUUGGAAUUCUUUAACUGUGGUCCCUUGGAAUGUAAUCAACAAAAAUUCUAACCUCCAACAGUCUGAUCUCACUUUGGACAUUCAUAAUAAAAGCUGAAAC